This 253-nucleotide ribosomal RNA is filed under the name uncultured bacterium. Its description in RNAcentral is "partial 16S ribosomal RNA". It matches the Rfam family "Bacterial small subunit ribosomal RNA", at positions 524 to 776 of the family's 1533-position model. The record is from RNAcentral.
UACGGAGGGUGCAAGCGUUAUCCGGAAUCACUGGGUGUAAAGCGUGCGUAGGCGGCUGUGUAAGUCAGGGGUGAAAGCCCGGAGCUUAACCUCGGAACGGCAUUUGAUACUGGGCAGCUCGAGUUGAGUAGAGGAGAGGGGAAUUUGCGGUGUAGCGGUGAAAUGCGUAGAGAUCGGAAGGAACACCAGUGGCGAAGGCGGCUCUCUGGACUCAAACUGACGCUGAGGUACGAAAGCGUGGGUAGCAAACAGG